Long non-coding RNA from Centruroides sculpturatus (bark scorpion), 276 nucleotides. RefSeq lists it as uncharacterized. Lineage: Eukaryota; Metazoa; Arthropoda; Arachnida; Scorpiones; Buthidae. The record is from RefSeq and is a predicted model, not a curated record. The transcript is spliced from 2 exons.
UAUAACAUUUAUAUAUAUCAUUUAUUUGUACUUUAAAGUUAUUUCAGAAAAAGAAAGUUGUUCACUCUGUAAAAAUUGUCUUAAUCCGUUGUUACCCGACAACUGUAAAAUUCGUAUUUAUCCACGACCUAUUGUUUCCAAGCAAAUUCUACGGUUACAUAAGAAAGAACAAAGUCGCUCUUGGAAUUUGAGUAUGAAAGAUAAGAAAAAAUUGGCUCGGUUCAAAUCUCAAUCAAAUAAAAUCGUUUGUUUAUGUUUAAACUGUAAGAAAAGAAU